GAUGAACGCUGGCGGCGUGCCUAAUACAUGCAAGUCGAGCGAACGGACAAGAAGCUUGCUUUUCUGAUGUUAGCGGCGGACGGGUGAGUAACACGUGGAUAACCUACCUAUAAGACUGGGAUAACUUCGGGAAACCGGAGCUAAUACCGGAUAAUAUUUUGAACCGCAUGGUUCAAAAGUGAAAGACGGUCUUGCUGUCACUUAUAGAUGGAUCCGCGCUGCAUUAGCUAGUUGGUAAGGUAACGGCUUACCAAGGCAACGAUGCAUAGCCGACCUGAGAGGGUGAUCGGCCACACUGGCACGGAGACACGGUCCAGACUCCUACGGGAGGCAGAAGUAGGGAAUCUUCCGCAAUGGGCGAAAGCCUGACGGAGCAACGCCGCGUGAGUGAUGAAGGUCUUCGGAUCGUAAAACUCUGUUAUUAGGGAAGAACAUAUGUGUAAGUAACUGUGCACAUCUUGACGGUACCUAAUCAGAAAGCCACGGCUAACUACGUG
RNAcentral lists this ribosomal RNA (497 nucleotides) under uncultured bacterium. RNAcentral describes it as "partial 16S ribosomal RNA". It matches the Rfam family "Bacterial small subunit ribosomal RNA", at positions 28 to 507 of the family's 1533-position model. The record is from RNAcentral.